RNAcentral lists this ribosomal RNA (492 nucleotides) under uncultured bacterium. RNAcentral's name for it is "partial 16S ribosomal RNA". It matches the Rfam family "Bacterial small subunit ribosomal RNA", at positions 29 to 507 of the family's 1533-position model. The record is from RNAcentral.
AGUGAACGCUGGCGGUAGGCCUAACACAUGCAAGUCGAACGGCAGCACAGUAAGAGCUUGCUCUUACGGGUGGCGAGUGGCGGACGGGUGAGGAAUACAUCGGAAUCUACUUUUUCGUGGGGGAUAACGUAGGGAAACUUACGCUAAUACCGCAUACGACCUACGGGUGAAAGCAGGGGAUCUUCGCACCUUGCGCGAUUGAUUGAGCCGAUGUCGGAUUAGCUAGUUGGCGGGGUAAAGGCCCACCAAGGCGACGAUCCGUAGCUGGUCUGAGAGGAUGAUCAGCCACACUGGAACUGAGACACGGUCCAGACUCCUACGGGAGGCAGCAGUGGGGAAUAUUGGACAAUGGGCGCAAGCCUGAUCCAGCCAUACCGCGUGGGUGAAGAAGGCCUUCGGGUUGUAAAGCCCUUUUGUUGGGAAAGAAAAGCAGCAGGUUAAUACCCCGCUGUUCUGACGGUACCCAAAGAAUAAGCACCGGCUAACUUCGUG